AGAGUUUGAUCAUGGCUCAGGAUGAACGCUGGCGGCGUGCUUAACACAUGCAAGUCGAACGAGCUCUGGUUUCGGCCAAAGCGAGCGGCGGACGGGUGAGUAACGCGUGGGUAACCUGCCCCAUACAGGGGAAUAACCGUGAGAAAUCACAGCUAAUGCCGCAUAAGCGCACAGUGCCGCAUGGUACGGUGUGAAAAGCUGAGGCGGUAUGGGAUGGACCCGCGUCUGAUUAGGCAGUUGGCAGGGUAACGGCCUACCAAACCAACGAUCAGUAGCCGGCCUGAGAGGGUGACCGGCCACAUUGGGACUGAGACACGGCCCAGACUCCUACGGGAGGCAGCAGUGGGGAAUAUUGCACAAUGGGGGAAACCCUGAUGCAGCAACGCCGCGUGAGUGAAGAAGUAUUUCGGUAUGUAAAGCUCUAUCAGCAGGGAAGAAACAAGACGGUACCUGACUAAGAAGCCCCGGCUAACUACGUGCCAGCAGCCGCGGUAAUACGUAGGGGGCAAGCGUUAUCCGGAUUUACUGGGUGUAAAGGGAGCGCAGGCGGCGAAGCAAGCGAGAGGUGAAAACCCGGGGCUCAACCCCGCGGAUUGCCUUUGGAACUGUUUUGCUGGAGUGCUGGAGGGGCAGGCGGAAUUCCUGGUGUAGCGGUGAAAUGCGUAGAUAUCAGGAGGAACACCGGUGGCGAAGGCGGCCUGCUGGACAGAAACUGACGCUGAGGCUCGAAAGCGUGGGGAGCAAACAGGAUUAGAUACCCUGGUAGUCCACGCCGUAACGAUGAAUACUAGGUGUCCGUG
Molecule: ribosomal RNA, 800 nt
Filed under: uncultured bacterium
Lineage: Bacteria
Description: bacterial SSU rRNA
Rfam family: Bacterial small subunit ribosomal RNA
Source: RNAcentral